RNAcentral lists this ribosomal RNA (448 nucleotides) under uncultured Ferruginibacter sp. RNAcentral's name for it is "bacterial SSU rRNA". It matches the Rfam family "Bacterial small subunit ribosomal RNA", at positions 28 to 470 of the family's 1533-position model. The record is from RNAcentral. Lineage: Bacteria; Pseudomonadati; Bacteroidota; Chitinophagia; Chitinophagales; Chitinophagaceae.
GAUGAACGCUAGCGGCAGGCUUAAUACAUGCAAGUCGAGGGGCAGCACGGGUAGCAAUACCUGGUGGCGACCGGCAAACGGGUGCGGAACACGUACGCAACCUUCCCAUAACUGGUGAAUAGCCCUCCGAAAGGAGGAUUAAUACACCGUAACAUAAUGAAGUGGCAUCACUUUAUUAUUAUAGGCUUCGGCCGGUUUUGGAUGGGCGUGCGCCUGAUUAGGUAGUUGGCGGGGUAACGGCCCACCAAGCCUUCGAUCAGUAACUGGUGUGAGAGCACGACCAGUCACACGGGCACUGAGACACGGGCCCGACUCCUACGGGAGGCAGCAGUAAGGAAUAUUGGUCAAUGGACGAAAGUCUGAACCAGCCAUGCCGCGUGAAGGAUUAAGGCCCUCUGGGUUGUAAACUUCUUUUAUCUGGGACGAAAAAAGGGUAUUCUUACUCACU